AACUUUUUCUUUAAUGUACAUCCUAAAUAUUGCCUUUUGUUAUGUGAAUAAACAUCGACUUUGCUAACAUAAUAUUGCCUGAGCCUUUCAUGCUUCCACAACGAUUAGGUUUACUUCAUUUUUUUAUGGAACACCACUAAAAAAUGAAAAUAAACACUUAAUUUUAUUAAGGUUGUAGAAUUCCUAAAAUUUUGUGAGUUGCUUCAUGAAAUCCUAUUAUUCUUGGAAUAAAU
RNAcentral lists this unclassified non-coding RNA (233 nucleotides) under Hevea brasiliensis (rubber tree). Lineage: Eukaryota; Viridiplantae; Streptophyta; Magnoliopsida; Malpighiales; Euphorbiaceae. The record is from RNAcentral.